This 253-nucleotide ribosomal RNA is filed under the name uncultured bacterium. RNAcentral's name for it is "partial 16S ribosomal RNA". It matches the Rfam family "Bacterial small subunit ribosomal RNA", at positions 524 to 776 of the family's 1533-position model. The record is from RNAcentral.
UACGAAGGGGGCUAGCGUUGUUCGGAAUAACUGGGCAUAAAGCGUACGUAGGUGGAUUUGCAAGUCAGGGGUGAAAUCCCGGGGCUCAACCUCGGAACUGCCUUUGAAACUGCGAAUCUGGAAUGUCAGAGGGGAUAGCGGAAUUCCAAAUGUAGGGGUGAAAUCCGUAGAUAUUUGGAGGAACACCGGUGGCGAAGGCGGCUAUCUGGAUGACUAUUGACACUGAGGUACGAAAGCGUGGGGAUCAAACAGG